GAUGAACGCUAGCGGCAGGCCUAACACAUGCAAGUCGAGGGGUAUAAAGAGCUUGCUUUUUAGAGACCGGCAAACGGGUGCGGAACACGUACGCAAUCUGCCCUUAACACGGGGAUAGCCCCAGAGAAAUUUGGAUUAAUACCCGAUAGUAUUAUAAUAAGGCAUCUUGUUGUAAUUAAAGCUAUGGCGGAUAAGGAUGAGCGUGCGCAAGAUUAGCUAGUUGGUGAGGUAACGGCUCACCAAGGCGACGAUCUUUAGCUGAUGUGAGAGCAUGAUCAGCCACACGGGCACUGAGACACGGGCCCGACUCCUACGGGAGGCAGCAG
This 326-nucleotide ribosomal RNA is filed under the name uncultured bacterium. RNAcentral's name for it is "bacterial SSU rRNA". It matches the Rfam family "Bacterial small subunit ribosomal RNA", at positions 28 to 354 of the family's 1533-position model. The record is from RNAcentral.